RNAcentral lists this ribosomal RNA (520 nucleotides) under uncultured bacterium. RNAcentral describes it as "partial 16S ribosomal RNA". It matches the Rfam family "Bacterial small subunit ribosomal RNA", at positions 29 to 507 of the family's 1533-position model. The record is from RNAcentral.
AACGAACGCUGGCGGCAUGCCUAAUACAUGCAAGUCGAACGCCCUCUCGGUUAGAUUGAACGAGUUUGCUCCUGAUUGGUAGGCAUUUGAGUGAGUGGCGGACGGGUGAGUAACACGUGGGUAACCUGCCCUAAAGUGGGGGACAACAUUUGGAAACAGAUUCUAAUACCGCAUAAAACCUAACACCGCAUGGUGGUGGGGUGUAAGACGAUUUCGGCUAUGACUUUUGGCUGGGCCCGCGGUGCAUUAGGUAGUUGGGGAGGUAAAGGCUCACCAAGACCGGGAUGCGUAGCCGAUCUGAGAGGGUGAUCGGCCACACUGGGACUGAGACACGGCCGAGACUCCUACGGGAGGCAGCAGUAGGGAAUCUUGCACAAUGGACGAAAGGCUGAUGGAGCAAUGUCGCGUGAGUGAAGAAGGAUUUCGGAUGGUAAAGCUAUGUUGUUGGAAAAGAAUGUAAGUGCUAGUACCUGAUGAGGUAGUGACGGUACCCAAAGAAAAAGCUACGGCUAACUACGUG